GAGUUUGAUCGUGGCUCAGAUUGAACGCUGGCGGCAGGCUUAACACAUGCAAGUCGAGCGGAGAUGAGGUGCUUGCACCUUAUCUUAGCGGCGGACGGGUGAGUAAUGCUUAGGAAUCUGCCUAUUAGUGGGGACAACAUUCCGAAAGGGAUGCUAAUACCGCAUACGUCCUACGGGAGAAGCAGGGGAUCUUCGGACCUUGCGCUAAUAGAUGAGCCUAAGUCGGAUUAGCUAGUUGGUGGGUAAAGGCCUACCAAGGCGACGAUCUGUAGCGGGUCUGAGAGGAUGAUCCGCCACACUGGGACUGAGACACGGCCCAGACUCCUACGGGAGGCAGCAG
Molecule: ribosomal RNA, 340 nt
Filed under: uncultured microorganism
Description: bacterial SSU rRNA
Rfam family: Bacterial small subunit ribosomal RNA
Source: RNAcentral